Molecule: long non-coding RNA, 862 nt
Organism: Daucus carota subsp. sativus
Lineage: Eukaryota; Viridiplantae; Streptophyta; Magnoliopsida; Apiales; Apiaceae
Exons: 3
Source: RefSeq, a predicted model, not a curated record
AGAGAAACCGGACAGGACUGCAACUUGCUAUUAUCUCUAGUUCUUGUUUGCCACUGUCACGUCACUACUUGUUCAACAGUGUUCUAACAAUGCAAACCAGGAAUAUAAGGACUCAAAUUUCCUAUCUUUUUCUGGUGCAUUAUUCUACACCCACCUACUCAGUCAACAUUCAAAUAUACACAUACACAUAAAUGCCAUGCUGCCGUCCAGCCAUUCCACAUUCACACUGUCUAAAUACUCAUAGACCAUAAUUCAACUAUCUUGCCCACAUAGAUACACAUAUAGAAGCUGAAAAGAUUGUAAAGACCUACAUGGAGAGGAAGAAGACUCUGAAGAAAGAUCACGAGGUUCGGGAGACUGAGAAGCAGAAGCAGCUGCUAAUGCUAUGCAGACGAGAAAAGAAACUACCUAGUUUAACAGAAGUGGAUGAUGAAGGAGAAGAUCAAGACACCGGCAACAAGUUAAAACCAAAUGACAUGGCAAUAAGGUCGACCAUGCGAUUAAUAUCAGGUAACAUGCCUUGUUCUAUGCAGGACCACGCCCUCUGUUUCACCAAUUCACUUCUGCGUGAUACAACUAAUUGUUCCCCCAGCCCUUCCCUCCUUGCUCGAUCCCUCAAAAAGGAGUUUGACUCAUUAUAUGGACGGCUAUGGCACUGCAUAGUUGGGAGGAGUUUUGGAUCGUUUGUGACUCACUCUCCUGGAGGCUUCAUUUAUUUUUCUGUCGAUUCCCAUAACCUCUCUUUUCUUCUCUUCAAAACUGAGGUCCAGCUUAUAGCAACAUAAUUCGAGCAUAUGAAAUGCAUUCAUAUACUUAGUGUAUUGCUUGGUAAUUUCAAAAAUAUACCGACUUCUUGUGUUUA